This 72-nucleotide transfer RNA is filed under the name Felis catus (domestic cat). It matches the Rfam family "tRNA". Rfam says of the family: Transfer RNA (tRNA) molecules are approximately 80 nucleotides in length. Their secondary structure includes four short double-helical elements and three loops (D, anti-codon, and T loops). Further hydrogen bonds mediate the characteristic L-shaped molecular structure. tRNAs have two regions of fundamental functional importance: the anti-codon, which is responsible for specific mRNA codon recognition, and the 3' end, to which the tRNAs corresponding amino acid is attached (by aminoacyl-tRNA synthetases). tRNAs cope with the degeneracy of the genetic code in two manners: having more than one tRNA (with a specific anti-codon) for a particular amino acid; and 'wobble' base-pairing, i.e. permitting non-standard base-pairing at the 3rd anti-codon position. Lineage: Eukaryota; Metazoa; Chordata; Mammalia; Carnivora; Felidae. The record is from Rfam by way of RNAcentral. RNAcentral also lists the same sequence under 6 other names.
ACCUAGCUGGCUCAGUUGGUAGAGCAUGUGACUCUGGAUCUCAGGGUCAUGAGUUCAAACCCCAGUUGGGUA